Molecule: non-coding RNA, 85 nt
Organism: Salmo salar (Atlantic salmon)
Lineage: Eukaryota; Metazoa; Chordata; Actinopteri; Salmoniformes; Salmonidae
Source: Rfam
CAGUACACUCAUCCAUAAAGUAGGAAACACUACACUGUGGCGAGGAGUUUAGUAGUGCUUUCUACUUUAUGGAUGACUGCACUGU